This 557-nucleotide ribosomal RNA is filed under the name uncultured bacterium. Its description in RNAcentral is "bacterial SSU rRNA". It matches the Rfam family "Bacterial small subunit ribosomal RNA", at positions 274 to 828 of the family's 1533-position model. The record is from RNAcentral.
CGACGAUGGAUAGGGGUUCUGAGAGGAAGGUCCCCCACAUUGGAACUGAGACACGGUCCAAACUCCUACGGGAGGCAGCAGUGAGGAAUAUUGGUCAAUGGACGAGAGUCUGAACCAGCCAAGUAGCGUGAAGGAUGACUGCCCUAUGGGUUGUAAACUUCUUUUAUAUGGGAAUAAAACAGGGUAUGCAUACCCUCUUGUAUGUACCAUACGAAUAAGGAUCGGCUAACUCCGUGCCAGCAGCCGCGGUAAUACGGAGGAUCCGAGCGUUAUCCGGAUUUAUUGGGUUUAAAGGGAGCGUAGGUGGAUUGUUAAGUCAGUUGUGAAAGUUUGCGGCUCAACCGUAAAAUUGCAGUUGAAACUGGCAGUCUUGAGUACAGUAGAGGUGGGCGGAAUUCGUGGUGUAGCGGUGAAAUGCUUAGAUAUCACGAAGAACUCCGAUUGCGAAGGCAGCUCACUGGACUGCAACUGACACUGAUGCUCGAAAGUGUGGGUAUCAAACAGGAUUAGAUACCCUGGUAGUCCACACAGUAAACCAUGAAUGCUCGCUGUUUGCG